RNAcentral lists this transfer RNA (70 nucleotides) under Marmota monax (woodchuck). RNAcentral's name for it is "tRNA.Ala". Lineage: Eukaryota; Metazoa; Chordata; Mammalia; Rodentia; Sciuridae. The record is from RNAcentral.
GGGCUGGGGCUCAGUGGCAGAGCACUUGCCUGGCAUGUGUGAGGCCCUGGGUUCGAUCUUCAGCACCACA